UAGCUAGUUGGUAAGGUAACGGCUUACCAAGGCGAUGAUGCAUAGCCGAGUUGAGAGACUGAUCGGCCACAAUGGAACUGAGACACGGUCCAUACUCCUACGGAAGGCAGCAGUAGGGAAUCUUCCACAAUGGACGCAAGUCUGAUGGAGCAACGCCGCGUGAGUGAAGAAGGUUUUCGGAUCGUAAAGCUCUGUUGUUGGUGAAGAAGGAUAGAGGUAGUAACUGGCCUUUAUUUGACGGUAAUCAACCAGAAAGUCACGGCUAACUACGUGCCAGCAGCCGCGGUAAUACGUAGGUGGCAAGCGUUGUCCGGAUUUAUUGGGCGUAAAGCGAGCGCAGGCGGAAAAAUAAGUCUGAUGUGAAAGCCCUCGGCUUAACCGAGGAACUGCAUCGGAAACUGUUUUUCUUGAGUGCAGAAGAGGAGAGUGGAACUCCAUGUGUAGCGGUGGAAUGCGUAGAUAUAUGGAAGAACACCAGUGGCGAAGGCGGCUCUCUGGUCUGCAACUGACGCUGAGGCUCGAAAGCAUGGGUAGCGAACAGGAUUAGAUACCCUGGUAGUCCAUGCCGUAAACGAUGAGUGCUAAGUGUUGGGAGGUUUCCGCCUCUCAGUGCUGCAGCUAACGCA
This 626-nucleotide ribosomal RNA is filed under the name uncultured bacterium. RNAcentral's name for it is "bacterial SSU rRNA". It matches the Rfam family "Bacterial small subunit ribosomal RNA", at positions 242 to 859 of the family's 1533-position model. The record is from RNAcentral.